RNAcentral lists this ribosomal RNA (884 nucleotides) under uncultured organism. RNAcentral's name for it is "bacterial SSU rRNA". It matches the Rfam family "Bacterial small subunit ribosomal RNA", at positions 19 to 921 of the family's 1533-position model. The record is from RNAcentral.
CUGGCUCAGGAUGAACGCUAGCGGCGCGCUUAACGCAUGCAAGUCGAGCGAUGAGGCUCCCUUCGGGGAGUACAUCAGCGGCAGACGGGUGAGUAACACGUAGAUAACCUGCCCUCAAGACGGGGACAACCGGUGGAAACAGCGGCUAAUACCCGAUAUGCUCACAGGAUCGGGAGAUCGAGUGAGGAAAGGCUUUGGUGCUUGAGGAGGGAUCUGCGGCCCAUCAGCUAGUUGGUGAGGUAACGGCUCACCAAGGCGAAGACGGGUAGGGGGUGUGAGAGCAUGGCCCCCCACAAUGGGACUGAGACACGGCCCAUACUCCUACGGGAGGCAGCAGCGGGGAAUAUUGCGCAAUGGACGGAAGUCAGACGCAGCGACGCCGCGUGGGUGAGGAAGGCCUUCGGGUUGUAAAGCCCUUUUCAGGGGAGCGAGAAAGGACGGUACCCUUGGAAUAAGCGUCGGCUAACUACGUGCCAGCAGCCGCGGUAAGACGUAGGACGCAAGCGUUAUCCGGAUUUACUGGGCGUAAAGCGCCUGUAGGCGGUCAAGUAAGUCGGAUGUGAAAGCCCCGUGCUCAACGCGGGGAAGCCAUUCGAUACUGCGUGACUAGAGAACGGCAGAGGGAAACGGAAUUUCUGGUGUAGCGGUAAAAUGCGCAGAGAUCAGAAAGAACACCGAUGGCGAAGGCAGUUUCCUAGGCCGCAUCUGACGCUGAGAGGCGAAAGCUAGGGGAGCAAACAGGAUUAGAGACCCUGGUAGUCCUAGCUGUAAACGAUGGAUGCUAGGUGUGGGCCGGAAAGGUCCGUGCCGUAGUUAACGCGAUAAGCAUCCCGCCUGGGGAGUACGGCCGCAAGGCUAAAACUCAAACCGAAUUGACGGGGACC